Molecule: long non-coding RNA, 2890 nt
Filed under: Polistes canadensis
Lineage: Eukaryota; Metazoa; Arthropoda; Insecta; Hymenoptera; Vespidae
Description: uncharacterized LOC106793467
Source: RNAcentral
GAAGCGCCAUCCUCCUCUAUUGAUCGUCGGUGGCCAUCCAAGAUGGCGCCGAAAGUGGCGUUCGCGCUCAGUCUGAUCUUCGUCAUCGGACACUUUAAGGAAGGGCAGACAUCCCUAACCAAGACUUUCACGUUUCCAGAGUACCCCUACAAAGAGACUACCAAGAACGAAUUCCUCUUCCGACAAUUCGAGCAAGCUUGCGAAGAGAGCGGCGCUUGUAAAAUGUUAUCGCAACAGGCGAGCAGUGUCGCCAAAACACGAUGCAUCCGGGAGUGCGUUUCUCCUUCUUGCUAUAAAGAAAUUUAUUUGUUCGAUCAGCUGGAGGAGGGAGAAAUCGACGUCAGGUUAAAUUCAUUUAAGGGCUGUUUUAUGCAACGUAACGGACGUCCGCGCAAAUAAAUAAGCCAUACCUUUCGACCAAUUGAAACGUCGAUGUAUUUAUUGCUAACUACUAUCUUGGGAAAGUCAACCUUCGUUCUGCUUACGUUGACGACGAACAAGUGGAGAUUGGAGAAGAAGAUCCAGCUAAAGAAUACAAAAAAAAAAAAACCGUCUUACACACAUCUUUGACGACGACAUUUAGAGAUUCGACAAUUAGAUAAUCUUUUUCUACUUUUUGUAUGCACAAAUAACUUUAAUACCAAUAGAAUAUUGCACAGCAUAUUAAAAGAAAACAAAAAAAAAAUAUUGAAAAUCCUCACCUUCCUCGCAUCCAAUGAUACGAGUUGACGAAAUCUUGUAAUUUUUGAAGAAGGAUAACUAAACAAACAUAAUGAAAUAAAUAUUGUAACGAUUUAGUAAUAAUAUGUGAAUGUUAUAUUAAAAAUAUAUACAAGCGAUACGAUCUCACCGCAUGAUACAAUUUCGAGGACGCUUCGUCUUCGUCUUUCGAUUGAAGAAAAUUCACAUAUUCUGAUAAUUGUUCCAUAGUUUCAUCAAAUGGUGAUUUAAACAAGGAUCUUGAGUUAGCCGGUACUUCGUCGUCGCCAUAUAUCUUUCGAAAUCGAAGCCAAGUGGUGACGAAUUGAAGAAAAUGUGAAGAUAAAGAUCGAGAUUUUGCUAUUCCAAUGACGAGGUCGUAAUUACUAAUUGCUGUACAUAGAUAAUACAUCAGGGUCUCUAUUUUGACGUGGCAAAAUUGGAGAACGUCAACUAGACAUUGAUAAACAAUCUCUCUUUCCGCUGUAGUACUCUACCAUGAAAAUGAUCAAAGGGUUAAAUUGACUGAUUUAUCCUUUAUGAUUUUCGUUUACAAUACCUUUACGCUAACUCACCUUUGAAUGAAUAACAUGAAGCAUCUCAUAAAUAUCUAGGAUCGUUACCAUUUCAUUUCUACCUGCUGCGUUAAAGGAAACAUCUUUCAAUGUUACAACCAUUCCUGAAUUGUUUUGGUUCAAUAACUCGUGUAAAAAUUCAAGAGCAUUCGGACAAACGAGUUGAGACUUUUGACAGAUCCAUAAAAGAACACGUAGAUGAUUCAUUUCGAUCGUUAUAGGUUUAUCACACUGUAAACAAAAAAUCCCUUACGUUACUUUUCUUAAUCCCAAAAUAUUCUUUUUUCUUUUGCAGUAGUCGAUUAUUAUUUAUCAUUGUUUUUUCUUACCUCGAUCGAAGAUAGCGAUUGAAAGUGGAUAAUAAAAGUGAGGAAUUUGAAGGAAAUUGCAGAUAACGUUAACUCGUUUUCAGAAAACGCAUAAUCAUGUAAUUUCUCUAAUAAUCUUGUCUCAUUUACGUAUUUUGAAAGAACUGUCAAACGUAAAUGUUUUCUUUUAAUUAAAGUCUUUAUUUAAGUAUUAUAUAUUUCUAUAUCAUAUAUUCUGUUUUACAAUUAGCUAAAUUCUUUCGGUGCAACUCACUUUUGAAGUAAUUGUGUUCCAUACAAGCAACAAGUAUGGCAUACGUCUGCUUUAAAAGUAACUUCUGGAAACAUGCAUCUACAUCUUCAGUUAAUAUCAUUUUGAUGAGAGCAUCCGCGCAUACUUUUAUCGUAUUUUUUGGUAAAUUACGGGGUUCCGACAUAUUUGAUAAUUCGAGCACUGCUUUAAUAUGCUCAACUAUAAAUAAUAUUGUAAUAUGUUAAUAUGGAUGUUACGACAAUAGUUUUUACAGAAAGUAUAAACUGAACGUUUUGAAAUUGAAUACUUCGAUUUGGACCAUCGGAUAAUAAGACAUUUGGUAACAUGUUCCAAACUAUAUCAGCGAUCUCGUCGCAAUUGCUAGUCUGCAUCGAUUGAUGUAUUCCUUUAACAGCUAAGCUAACUACCUCACCGAGGCCAUUUUGUACUGUAAUCUAUGUUUAAAAGGUUAUUUAUAUAGUGAGCGAGAUAUGAAAUGUAUAGAUUUAAAGAGAUGCAACUGUUCAAAAUUCAUUAAAUAAUAUAAUGAAAGGAGACGUUGCAUGUACCAAUAAACAAUGUUUAACGACGCUGUGACAAUCGAGCUUCAAAAGAGGUAGAACAUCCCCAUCGGAUUCUAUUAACCACAUAUUUAUUACUCUGUAUCGCAAAUCGUUCGUUAUCUCUGGACAUUUUAAACAAAAAUGUAGGAGCUCAAUGUGAUGGGUAUAAUAUUGACUUAAUUCCAAAUAUUGUAAAGCCAUUGUUAAUUUUUUCACUGCAUUUUCGUAUUCAAAAUUUUCUCCCGGUGAUGGGUGAGACAAAAAUGAAACCUAAAGAAUAAAUCUUUUAAUAAUAAAACAAGACCAAACCUAGCGCUUCGAAUAAAGUUUUUAAUCUUCCUAGUAGAAAGAAAUAAACUCACAGCAAAUAAAAACCAUAAUGGCUUUAGAGUUGGUACAGUUAUCGAUCCAAGAUCUUCUAGAUCUAACAAUCUUUUUAUCAGAGAUUCGAACGUAAUCAUAUCAAGUCUGAAAUAAACAAACGAUAACCGA